CUUGUUUCUUAGUGAAUCUCUGAGUAAAAAACAUAAAUGAAUCAAAACUUUCAACAACGGAUCUCUUGGUUCUGGCAUCGAUGAAGAACGCAGCGAAAUGCGAUAAGUAAUGUGAAUUGCAGAAUUCAGUGAAUCAUCGAAUCUUUGAACGCACAUUGCGCCCUCUGGUAUUCCGGAGGGCAUGCCUGUUCGAGCGUCAUUUCAACCCUCAAGCAUUGCUUGGUGUUGGGGCACCGCCUGUAAAAGGGCGGGCCCUGAAAUCUAGUGGCGAGCUCGCCAGGACCCCGAGCGUAGUAAUUAUAUUUCGUUCUGGAAGGCCCUGGCGGUGCCCUGCCGUUAAACCCCCAACUUCUGAAAAUUUGACCUCGGAUCAGGUAGGAAUACCCGCUGAACUUAAGCAUAUCAAUAAGCGGAGGAA
Molecule: ribosomal RNA, 418 nt
Filed under: Phomopsis sp. 128B
Lineage: Eukaryota; Fungi; Ascomycota; Sordariomycetes; Diaporthales; Diaporthaceae
Description: eukaryotic LSU rRNA
Rfam family: 5.8S ribosomal RNA (bases 46-199)
Source: RNAcentral